AGUAUGGCUCAGUGGUAGAGCUCAUGCUCAGCAUGUAUGAAACCCUGGGUUCAAUCCCUAGCACU
This 65-nucleotide transfer RNA is filed under the name Mesocricetus auratus (golden hamster). It matches the Rfam family "tRNA". Rfam says of the family: Transfer RNA (tRNA) molecules are approximately 80 nucleotides in length. The record is from Rfam by way of RNAcentral. Lineage: Eukaryota; Metazoa; Chordata; Mammalia; Rodentia; Cricetidae.